GACGAACGCUGGCGGCGUGCUUAACACAUGCAAGUCGAACGGAAAGGCCCUGCUUUUGUGGGGUGCUCGAGUGGCGAACGGGUGAGUAACACGUGAGUAACCUGCCCUUGACUUUGGGAUAACUUCAGGAAACUGGGGCUAAUACCGGAUAGGAGCUCCUGCUGCAUGGUGGGGGUUGGAAAGUUUCGGCGGUUGGGGAUGGACUCGCGGCUUAUCAGCUUGUUGGUGGGGUAGUGGCUUACCAAGGCUUUGACGGGUAGCCGGCCUGAGAGGGUGACCGGCCACAUUGGGACUGAGAUACGGCCCAGACUCCUACGGGAGGCAGCAGUGGGGAAUAUUGCACAAUGGGCGGAAGCCUGAUGCAGCAACGCCGCGUGCGGGAUGACGGCCUUCGGGUUGUAAACCGCUUUCGCCUGUGACGAAACGUGAGUGACGGUAAUGGGUAAAGAAGCACCAGCUAACUACGUG
RNAcentral lists this ribosomal RNA (468 nucleotides) under uncultured bacterium. RNAcentral's name for it is "partial 16S ribosomal RNA". It matches the Rfam family "Bacterial small subunit ribosomal RNA", at positions 28 to 507 of the family's 1533-position model. The record is from RNAcentral.